Molecule: unclassified non-coding RNA, 325 nt
Filed under: uncultured fungus
Lineage: Eukaryota; Fungi
Description: partial contains small subunit ribosomal RNA, internal transcribed spacer 1, and 5.8S ribosomal RNA
Rfam family: Eukaryotic small subunit ribosomal RNA (bases 1-73)
Source: RNAcentral
GCAAACUUGGUCAUUUAGAGGAAGUAAAAGUCGUAACAAGGUUUCCGUAGGUGAACCUGCGGAAGGAUCAUUCACAAUUUACAAGUGCCUCCUACGCUCUGACUCCUUCUAAGGAGGAGGGGACAAGGACACUGUGGACGAAAAAUCCAUUCCCACCUUGUGUGUAUUGUAACAAAACAACCUAUUUCACAGAAUCUGAUUUUUUUUUGCAAGACCGUCUGAAUGCAUCUCAUUAGCCGAUCUGCGGAAGCAGAGAGGGAAAAAAAAAUGAAAUACAACUUUCAACAACGGAUCUCUUGGCUCUCGCAUCGAUGAAGAACGCAGC